UACGUAGGGUGCGAGUGUUGUCCGGAAUUAUUGGGCGUAAAGGGCUCGUAGGCGGUCUGUCACGUCGGGAGUGAAAACUCGGGGCUCAACCCCGAGCCUGCUUCCGAUACGGGCAGACUAGAGGUAUGCAGGGGAGAAUGGAAUUCCUGGUGUAGCGGUGAAAUGCGCAGAUAUCAGGAGGAACACCGGUGGCGAAGGCGGUUCUCUGGGCAUUACCUGACGCUGAGGAGCGAAAGUGUGGGGAGCGAACAGG
This 253-nucleotide ribosomal RNA is filed under the name uncultured bacterium. RNAcentral's name for it is "partial 16S ribosomal RNA". It matches the Rfam family "Bacterial small subunit ribosomal RNA", at positions 524 to 776 of the family's 1533-position model. The record is from RNAcentral.